CAACCUUGGCACCGGUAGCCAUUUAUAUUUUGUGCAGAAUAGCUGAAUCAAUCCACGCAAUUUAACCCGCCACUGAGCGGGUUUUUUUAU
This 90-nucleotide unclassified non-coding RNA is filed under the name Yersinia enterocolitica (type O:2) str. YE3094/96. Lineage: Bacteria; Pseudomonadati; Pseudomonadota; Gammaproteobacteria; Enterobacterales; Yersiniaceae. The record is from RNAcentral.